UCGAUAGUUCAAUCCUAUCAAGAAGAGUUGUGCAAUCUUCCCGGGAGGUUUUUGUCUUUGCUACCUUGCUAGCAUAUAACCGAUUGGGGACAUUG
This 95-nucleotide small nucleolar RNA is filed under the name Echinops telfairi (small Madagascar hedgehog). RNAcentral describes it as "Small nucleolar RNA SNORA32 (ENSETEG00000026132.1)". The record is from RNAcentral. Lineage: Eukaryota; Metazoa; Chordata; Mammalia; Afrosoricida; Tenrecidae.